CUGAAUGUCGAUAGUACCGCGAGCCUUCGGGCAAGUGGAUAGCGCAGGUAAUCAGACUUCCAAGAAAAACCGCUAAGCUCUAGGCUAUAAAAACUCGUACCGCAAACCGACACAGGUAUCCGGGAUGAGAAUUCUAAGGUGCUCGAGUGAAUCAUGGCUAAGGAACUCGGCAAAAUGGCCCUGUAACUUCGGGAGAAGGGGCGCUGUCAGCAAUGGCAGCCGCAGUGAAAAGGCCCAGGCGACUGUUUAACAAAAACACAUGGCUUUGCAAAAUCGAAAGAUGAGGUAUAAGGCCUGACACCUGCCCGGUGCUGGAAGGUUAAGAGGGGAUGUCAGCCGCAAGGCGAAGCAUUGAAUCGAAGCCCCAGUAAACGGCGGCCGUAACUAUAACGGUCCUAAGGUAGCGAAAUUCCUUGUCGGGUAAGUUCCGACCUGCACGAAUGGUGUAACGAUCUGGGCGCUGUCUCAGCCAUGAGCUCGGUGAAAUUGUGGUCCCGGUGAAGACGCCGGGUACCCGCAACGGGACGGAAAGACCCCAUGCACCUUCACUACAGUUUAACAUUGACAUUGGGUACAGGAUGUGUAGGAUAGGUGGGAGGCUUUGAAGCGGCGUCGCUAGGCGUCGUGGAGCCAACGUUGAAAUACCACCCUUUCUGUAUUCGGUGUCUAACUCCGCCAAGCGGAGGACAUUGUUUGAUGGGUAGUUUGACUGGGGUGGUCGCCUCCAAAAAGGUAACGGAGGCUUUCAAAGGUAAGCUCAGUACGCUUGGUAACCGUACGGGGAGUGCAAUAGCAUAAGCUUGCUUGACUGUGAGGCAUACAGGCCGAUCAGGGUCGAAAGACGGAUAUAGUGAUCCGGUGGUUCUGCAUGGAAGGGCCAUCGCUCAAAGGAUAAAAGGUACGCUGGGGAUAACAGGCUGAUCUCCCCCAAGAGCUCAUAUCGACGGGGAGGUUUGGCACCUCGAUGUCGGCUCGUCACAUCCUGGGGCUGGAGAAGGUCCCAAGGGUUCGGCUGUUCGCCGAUUAAAGUGGCACGCGAGCUGGGUUCAGAACGUCGCGAGACAGUUCGGUCCCUAUCUGUUGUGGGCGUUGGAAUCUUGAGUGGGGCUGACCUUAGUACGAGAGGACCGGGUUGGACUAGCCUCUAGUGAAUCUGUUGUUCCGCCAGGGGCAUUGCAGAGUAGCUACGCUGGGAAUAGAUAAGCGCUGAAAGCAUCUAAGUGCGAAACUAGCCACGAGAUGAGGAUUCCAUAUAGGGCCGUAGCAGACUACUACGUUGAUAGGCUACAGAUGUAAAGGUGGCGACACCACAGUCGAGUAGUACUAAUAGCCCGAAGCU
RNAcentral lists this ribosomal RNA (1339 nucleotides) under Achromobacter sp. RNAcentral describes it as "bacterial LSU rRNA". It matches the Rfam family "Bacterial large subunit ribosomal RNA", at positions 1549 to 2925 of the family's 2925-position model. The record is from RNAcentral. Lineage: Bacteria; Pseudomonadati; Pseudomonadota; Betaproteobacteria; Burkholderiales; Alcaligenaceae.